AUUCUUGGAGCUCUGGGCUGUGAAUGCUGCAGCAGCUCCACCACAGCCUUUGUUCCAAUUUUGAAUAAUAGACAAAGAUAGGGAUAGAGAAAAUAGGAAAGGGCAAAGAAGAAGUUUGUUGUCCAGAAUCUUAUGAAGACUUUGUGUGUGCAGAGAUCUUCCUUUUUUCUUCUGAGCCAUUUAAAAUCCAUUAAGCCAAGACAUCAAGAUCUAAAAUUCCUUUGUUCCAGUGGAUCAAGGAGAUGUGAGGAUGCCUGGGAAUUCAGAUCAAGCUGAGGAAGUCUGAAGAGCAUAAUUUUGUACAUGUCCUCAGCUCAGGCUCUCCCAGCACUGCUCCUGCUCCAUCCUGGCUGGGUUUCAUGUUUAGAGUACGAAGAAGGACAUCUUGUAAAGGCACCUUUUCAUCUGUGGACAGACCAUAAAAAUCCUCUCAGAAGGGGACUCAGGAAUUUAGAGAGAAAAAAUGAACGCGCUUGGAAAAAGCGAGACGAAUUUGGGAAUCUCUCUGUUCCCACAGACCUCUGUUCACUGAGCAGAUGCAGCCAAGAUGAGCUUGGAGCAGCAGUGAAAGUGCUGGCUCAUUACCCAGGUGCCUCUUAA
RNAcentral lists this long non-coding RNA (600 nucleotides) under Zonotrichia albicollis (white-throated sparrow). Its description in RNAcentral is "lncRNA (ENSZALG00000004377.1)". Lineage: Eukaryota; Metazoa; Chordata; Aves; Passeriformes; Passerellidae. The record is from RNAcentral.